ACGGCGCAAAAUAUGAACCAAAUUGGCGGGAGUCGUGAUGUUGCAAACAAUCCAAUUGACCUCAAAAAGCUGUCGGGUCAUUACGUCAUCCGGAGAUUCAUCUCGCGUUGCUUUGGAGUCUUCUUCACAAGACACGGUAACAGUACAUCGAUACUUGGUGAGCACAGAGUUUUUACAAUAAAUCCUACUAAAAAUCCAGAAGAUUAUAUUUUUCAAAAAAAUCAAAUUAAAUCGAGCAAAUACACAGUAUGGAAUUUUGUACCAAAAAAUUUGUUCGAACAAUUCCGUCGAGUAGCAAAUUUUUACUUUUUACUAUCAGCGAUAAUCGCGAUGUCCAUUGAAUCGCCGGUGUCGCCAUUCACUACAUUGCUACCCCUAGUAUUUGUAAUUCUAGUAACAGCAUGUAAGCAAGGGUAUGAAGAUUUUUUGAGACACCAAUCUGAUUACCGUGUUAAUGGUACUUCCGUUACUGUUAUACGUAAUAAAUGUAUGCAAGCGAUUAGAUGUGAGCAAAUAAUUGUAGGUGAUUUAGUGAGAGUAUCUAGAGAUGAGGACUUACCCUGUGAUAUUAUUUUACUUUAUAGUAGUGAAUCAAACGGCUCAUGUUACGUAACGACAUCAAAUCUUGACGGCGAAUCGAAUUUAAAAACACUACAAGUGCCAAAAGUGACAUCAAAUAAACCAGUCGAAGAAAUAGUCAGCAUGGAGUGUCUAGUCACUUGUCAGCACCCGCUUUCAAACCUCUACGAGUUUCAGGGGAAAAUAGAAAUAAAAUUCACCGAAGACAAUUUGUCCUCUGGGUUCCUGUCAAUUGACAACAUAUUGCUACGGGGGUCGCGUCUGAAGGACACUGAGUUCAUAAUUGGCGCUGCCGUUUACACCGGCUCUGAUACGAAACUCUCUCUAAACUCAAAACAAACUCCAAAUAAAUUUUCUACCGUCGAGAAGAGUAUUAAUUUGUACCUGAUAUUUUUUAUAGUCGUAUUAAUAUUAGAAAUUAUAAUAUCGACUGUAUUGAAACAAUUUAAUGAUUAUAAUCAGCAGUUGCAUUAUUACCUGGGUAAGAAUAGCGGAACUAGUUUUUCAAAAAUUGUUCAUGAUUUUUUCUCUUUUACGAUUCUCUAUAAUUAUAUCGUACCGAUUUCACUUUAUGUUACUGUUGAACUACAAAAAUUUUUGGGCUCAUUAUUUUUCCACUGGGACUCAAAAAUGUACGACGAGCGCACCGAUCAGCCGGCAUUGGUGAACACUUCUGAUCUAAAUGAAGACCUGGGACAAAUAGAGUAUUUAUUGACUGACAAAACCGGGACUUUGACAGAAAAUUUAAUGGUCUUUCGACGGUGCACUGUCGACGGCAAAAUGUACAUAGAGAAAGACUGCAAUGGAAAAAUAUACGAAUUACCGGCAAACGGAAAUGAACAUGAGGCGAUUAAAGUAAUGACCUGGCCGCCGGAAAUUUGGCACUUCAUGAUUGCAUUGUCGCUCUGUCAUUCCGUCCACGUUGCGCCGCCGAUUGUCAUGGACGGUGUUGUCGCUCGCCGCACAGCAUUUCGUGAGAGUUUUCGACAAAAAACCAUCCGCAGAGUAAACAGUUCACUGUUGAUGGACCCAAGCUUGCCGGAAUAUCAGGCAGCUUCUGCCGAUGAAAAAGCUCUGGUCGAAGCCAGCGCCAGAUGCGGAGUUAUUUUGACAAAAUAUGAAGCCGAUCUAUUGGAAAUAAAAGCUGGAGAUCGUUUUUUACAUUUCACUUGUUUGGAAACGCUGGAAUUUACUUCUGAGCGCAAAAGAAUGUCAGUAAUAGUACAAGACUCAGCUGGUGAAUUAUGGCUGUAUUCAAAAGGCGCUGACUCAGAAAUGUUUCCAUUGAUGCAUGAAGGAAAAAUCCAACAAACUGAAGAGCAUGUCGCUGAUUUUUCACAAAGAGGACUAAGGACACUCGUAGUAGGCUGCAAAAAACUAACGAUCCAAGAAUACGAUAAAUUUAUCCGUCUAGCAGAGCAAGCGAGGCAAAAAAUCGGCCCAGAGCGGUCUAAGCUUGUAGAAGAAGUCUACUUGUCUAUCGAGACGGGGAUGAUGUUGUUAGGGGCCACGGGUAUUGAGGACAGUCUCCAGGAAGGUGUAGAAGAAACAUUGGAAUCUCUCCGUGCAGCCAAUAUAAAAGUGUGGGUUUUAACCGGCGAUAAAGCUGAGACAGCUGAAAAUAUCGCGUUUUCAUGCGGGCAUUUUAAAAGUGGUACUGAAGUACUCAGACUAAUGGGACAAAAAACAUUACAACUUUGUUUCAUUACUUUGACCGGUUACGAACGGAAAAUGAAAUUAGAGCCUUAUAAACAGUAUGGAUUAAUAAUGGACGGCAUGAGUAUGGCGAUAGCUUACAAUCAUUGUCCAGAAUUAUUGAGAAUCGUCGGAAUGACUUGCGACGCAGUUGUAUGCUGCCGUAUGUCGCCGUUGCAAAAAUCCGAAAUCGUACAGUUGAUUAAAAACUCGGCUAGACAUCCUCUGACGGCGGCUAUUGGUGACGGAGGUAAUGACGUAUCAAUGAUUCAAGAAGCGCACGUGGGUAUCGGUAUUAUGGGCAAAGAAGGCAGACAAGCUUCAAUGAAUGCUGACUUCGCUCUUGCUAAAUUUAUGUAUUUAAAACGUGCGUUAUUAAUUCAUGGCCACUGGUAUUAUAUAAGAUUGAGUAUAUUAACUCAGUAUUUUUUUUACAAAAAUGUCGUUUUUAUAACGCCGCAAAUUUUCUUUGGACUUUCCAACGGAUUUUCUUCUCAAGCAUUAUACGAUAGUGUUUUUCUCAUGGGGUUCAAUGUUUUGUUUACGUCAUUGCCAGUUCUUGCUUUUGGUUUACUCGCGCAAGAUCAUUCAGCCCAUAAAUUAAUUACCUAUCCACAGUAUUAUGUAUUAAAUAAAAAAAAUCGAUUGCUGUCAAUUGAACAAACAAUUACUUGGUUGUUCUUAGCGCUAUGGCAUACAGGUGUAAUAUACUUUGGAACCUACACGUAUUUUAAUAUGAAUCUAAUAAAUCUAAGCGGUAAUACAAUGGCUGAUUAUGCGUGUUUCAAUACAUGCAUUUUUCACUUGGUAACACUAGUCACUAAUUUAGAGUUACUAUCUAGGAAUUUAUUUUGGACUUUUCCAUUUGUGUUUAGUAUCAUUUUUUCCGAAUUACUUUUUUUUAUCGUCGCGGCUGCGUACUCGUCAAUAAAUAUUCAAUACAAUGGUCAAAUGUUUGGAGUAUUUAUUAAUUUAAUAUUAUCGCCGUCGUUUUGGCUGCUGACGAUAGUAAUUGUGCCGAUGUGCCUGAUACCAGAUUAUCUUAUUGCCAUUUACGAGAGCUACAGACCUUCGAAAUUGAAUUAUCAAGACGAGCGGGAAGAAAAUAUUCAAGAUAAUUACAGUGAAUGGAGUACACCUUCAUCGGAGGAAAGGAGAUUUAACUGGACUCCUUGGCGCGGUAAUUUUACAUUUGUAAAUACGUAAAAAAAUCGUAUAGAUGUAUCUGAAUUUAUUUUUGUAACUUAACAGGAUGUAAAUAAUGAAUGAAAAAAUUAAAAAAUAAGAACAAAAGUUUAUCGAUAAAAAUGAAAAUUUUAAUUUAAUAAUAAGGACUAGUACAUUUUAAUUAGGGCCGUCGACAAAGGGAAAAAAAUGUUUGAACAAGGCGGUAGAGCUUAACGUGGGUGAUUAUAAAAAUAACGAUAAUGAAUUACUCGACUGCUGGAUAAAUAUAAAUAUUGUUUAGCUUGAAAAGUCUUGACGGGUU
Microplitis mediator is the source of this 3763-nucleotide RNA transcript. It is a transcript of the gene named phospholipid-transporting ATPase IF-like, with no coding region annotated. Lineage: Eukaryota; Metazoa; Arthropoda; Insecta; Hymenoptera; Braconidae. The transcript is spliced from 19 exons. The record is from RefSeq and is a predicted model, not a curated record.